This 506-nucleotide ribosomal RNA is filed under the name Pseudolycoriella gonotegmenta. RNAcentral describes it as "partial large subunit ribosomal RNA". Lineage: Eukaryota; Metazoa; Arthropoda; Insecta; Diptera; Sciaridae. The record is from RNAcentral. RNAcentral also lists the same sequence under 1 other name.
GUCUUUUUGAUUUUAAUUUAAAGUUUAACCUGCCCAUUGAAAAUUUUUAAAAGGCUGCGGUAUUUUGACUGUACAAAGGUAGCAUAAUCAUUAGUUUUUUAAUUGAAAACUUGUAUGAAUGGUUGAAUGAGAAAUUAACUUUUUUAAAAAAAUAAUUGAAUUUUACUUUUUAAUUAAAAGGUUAAAAUAAAUUUAAAAGACGAGAAGACCCUAUAGAGUUUUAUAAUUUUUAUUUAAUAUUUAAAAAGAUUAAUUAAAAUUUUAUAAAAGAAAAUAUUUUGUUGGGGUGAUAAUAAAAUUUAAAUAACUUUUAUUUUUUUUUACAUUAAUAUAUGAAUUUAUGAUCCAUUAUUGAUGAUUAGAAAUUUAAAUUACCUUAGGGAUAACAGCGUAAUUUUUUUUUAAAGUUCAUAUUAAUAAAAAAUUUUGCGACCUCGAUGUUGGAUUAAGAUUUAAUUUUAGGUGCAGCAGUUUAAAUUUUAAGUCUGUUCGACUUUUAAAUUCUU